UACGGAAGGCAGCAGUGGGGAAUAUUGCACAAUGGGCGAAAGCCUGAUGCAGCUAUGCCGCGUGUAUGAAGAAGGCCUUAGGGUUGUAAAGUACUUUCAUCGGGGAGGAAAAACAAAACUAAUAAUUUUAUUUCUUGACGUUACCCGAAAAAGAAGCACCGGCUAACUCCGUGCCAGCAGCCGCGGUAAUACGGAGGGUGCUAGCGUUAAUCAGAAUUACUGGGCGUAAAGAGCACGUAGGUGGUUUUUUUAAGUCAGAUGUGAAUCCCUGGGCUUAACCUAGGAACUGCAUUUUGAAACUGAAAUACUAGAGUAUCGUAGAGGGAGGUAGAAUUCUAGGUGUAGCGGUGAAAUGCGUAGAUAUCUGGAGGAAUACCUGUGGCGAAAGCGGCCUCCUAAACGAAUACUGACACUGAGGUGCGAAAGCGUGGGGAGCAAAACAGGGAUUAGAUACC
Molecule: ribosomal RNA, 455 nt
Filed under: uncultured bacterium
Lineage: Bacteria
Description: bacterial SSU rRNA
Rfam family: Bacterial small subunit ribosomal RNA
Source: RNAcentral